UGCAAGCACGGCUUGGGGAGGGGUCUUUACUUGUUUAUUUAAUUUAAGAUUAACAUUUAUUUUAUUUAACAAGGAACUUAUCUACUUCAUCCGACUAGUUCCGGGUUCGAAUCCCGGGCAACCCACUAGCAUAUCGAAAUUCUAAUUCUCUGUAGAGAAGCCCGUAUUUUUCCAAUCAACUUCAUCGAAUCCCGGGCAACCCACUAGCAUAUCGAAAUUCUAAUUCUCUGUAAAGAAGUUCGCAUUGUUCUAAUCAACUUCAUUAAAAAUUUGAAUAGAUCUACAUACACCUUGGUUGACACGAGAAUGACGACAGCCAUGCACCACCUGUGUCCGCGUUCCCGAAGGCACCCCUCUCUUUCAAGAGGAUUCGCGGCAUGUCAUGCCCUGGUAAGGUUCUUCGCUUUGCAUCGAAUUAAACCACAUGCUCCACCGCUUAUGCGGGCCCCCGUCAAGCAUUUCGCCGAUUACUACGCCCUUCCUCGUCUCUGGGUGCCUAGGUAUCCACCGUAACCCUUUCCUCGUUUGAACCUCGCCAUUCACUUUUAAGG
Molecule: long non-coding RNA, 551 nt
Filed under: Nicotiana benthamiana
Lineage: Eukaryota; Viridiplantae; Streptophyta; Magnoliopsida; Solanales; Solanaceae
Description: long non-coding RNA (NBEN_LNC021688)
Source: RNAcentral